CACGCUGCCACCUGCCACCCAGAAAAUGUGGCUCCUCACUCACUAAGAGGGAGGGAAAGCCAUCAGCAAGGUACCAGGCGUUCUUUAGAGUCUCCAGGAAAGUGCAGAGUUGGCGACAGCUCAAAUUUCAGAUGGAUACCACGAAUAUGGGUCAGGUUUUAGUAAGAUGUAAAUGCGUUGGCAUGGAAAUGCGGAGAAGAUCAAUUGUUCCCUGAAAACUCAUGCUGAAGAGGAGGCUCUACGGUUCAAUCCACUUUAGCAAAAACAAACAAAAAUAAAAUUUAAUUCCAAAUUGC
Molecule: long non-coding RNA, 296 nt
Organism: Odocoileus virginianus texanus
Lineage: Eukaryota; Metazoa; Chordata; Mammalia; Artiodactyla; Cervidae
Source: RefSeq, a predicted model, not a curated record